Olea europaea var. sylvestris is the source of this 1144-nucleotide long non-coding RNA. RefSeq lists it as uncharacterized. The transcript is spliced from 3 exons. Lineage: Eukaryota; Viridiplantae; Streptophyta; Magnoliopsida; Lamiales; Oleaceae. The record is from RefSeq and is a predicted model, not a curated record.
AACUCAAAAGGUCCACUUUACUACUUGUUACGAUCCGUCCACUUGUGGGAUAAAAUCGACAACAAGGUUCGUGCGUAUUCUUGGACACUCAUGUUUAUAAACAAGCCAGCCACUGUUGAAAAUAGAUCAUGUAUUUAAUUUGGAGAAAAUAAUUAAAUUGAGAUAGCUGGCCGAUAUAUGAAAUUUAUGUGAGGGGUCAAUACUUCAGAACGGCAUACUUCAAGUAAGCAUUUAUAAGUUUUUGAUUGGACCGAGGACUUCUUUUAUUUUGUAUUACAAUUAUCUUAUGGUUAUUAUUUAUUUUAGUUAUUCCAAAUUUAUAUCUGUUAAAAACUAGUCAGCAAAAUAAAAUAUUUAGAGGCAGUUAUAUCCAGUAAAACAAAAUCAUUGAGAGAUUUUGUCCAAAUAAAUCACAAUAGUUAACAAUGAACAAUUUAAGUUUAAAAUGUCGUACUGUCAUGAAUGAAAUCACUAUCGAUUGAUAAUUUUUUUUUUUUUUUUUUUUUUAAUCAUUAUUCUAAAAAGGUAAUUGCGACUAAUUUUUCUACAAUUACAACACCAGAGGUUGUUGAGGCAUCCAUUGAGCUGCCAAGCACGCCUAGCCAAGUUGAAGUCAAAGUUGAAAUUCCAAUUUCCAAUGUCAAUGCCCAACAGGGGCUCAUAAUUAUUCCUCUUACUAUAGGACACUUACUUAGUCAACGCUUAGAUCCGGUUUUACCCAAACUUUCCCUACUUGUCUGACUAUUGUUGAGCAGUUUUUGGAUAUAAAACAGAACUUCCCAAAAGCACCAGAGGUUGUCGAGGCAUCCGUUGUUGAGCAAACAAGCAUGCCUAGCCAAGUUGAAAGUCCAAUUUCCAAUGCCAAUGCCCGACAACGUAUGUUUACCAUUUCUAGAGUUGAUCAAAUAUAUAGUAAGUGCAUACCUCAUUCCUGUGGCGAGCCACAAAUCCGUAAUGGGUGUUGAGACAUAAUGUAUGACUGUGCCUAAGUUAUUUAUGUAGGCAUUCACGUUAAACAACUACAAAUGAUAUGAUUUUCCAGCUGGAAAUCCUGUUACCGUGGUUUCGAGAGACCUUCAUUUUAUUCAAUGUAAUUAUUCGAAUUAUUUGACAAGCUACUUGAUGAAGAAGAAAGAAAAAAAAA